UACGGAGGGGGCAAGCGUUGUUCGGAAUUACUGGGCGUAAAGCGUGCGUAGGCGGUUUUGUAAGUCAGAUGUGAAAUCCCCGGGCUUAACCUGGGAAUGGCAUUUGGGACUGCAAGGCUUGAGUGCGGCAGAGGAGACUGGAAUUCCUGGUGUAGCAGUGAAAUGCGUAGAUAUCAGGAGGAAUACCGAUGGCGAAGGCAGGUCUCUGGGCUGGCACUGACGCUCAUGCACGAAAGCGUGGGGAGCAAACAGG
This 253-nucleotide ribosomal RNA is filed under the name uncultured bacterium. RNAcentral describes it as "partial 16S ribosomal RNA". It matches the Rfam family "Bacterial small subunit ribosomal RNA", at positions 524 to 776 of the family's 1533-position model. The record is from RNAcentral.